AAACGAGGCACGUGAUAUGAGGGCGGGGGCGGGAACGAGUUGGGAACCCAAAACCUCAGUUCUGAUUUUCUGUUACUUGGGUCUCUGCUGCCUUUUCGUUCUCGAACCCCGCGCAUCCAGGGAAAGGGGUUUGGAGCUAGGAACUCGGGAAGCGACUAAGUGCGUGGACUUGAGGCUGUCCGGUGGCCCCCAGCCGCCUGCCAAUCCUUUUCCCUCACCAGACUUCCCGUCUGGUCAUGGCGAGAUUCUGGGUCUGCGUAGCCGGCGCUGGCUUCUUUCUUGCAUAUCUGGUUUUACAUUCGCAUAUUUGUGGCUCUUCGCUCCCACUACGUCUUCAUUUUGCUUUUAAAUUUUCCUGGAGAGCUGAGGAAAUCCUUUACCGGCUGGAUGUGGAUUGGCCCACGUAUUCAGAAUACUUUACUGGAGCAACAUUUUGUGUUGCAGUUGAUUCCCUCAACGAAUUGGUUUAUGUAGCCCAAAGAGGGGAUAACAUCCCAAAGGUAUUAGUGUUCACAGAGGAUGGAUAUUUCCUACGAGCCUGGAAUUACACAGUUGACACACCUCAUGGCAUAUUUGCAGCCAGUACACUACAUGAACAAUCCGUCUGGAUCACGGAUGUAGGAAGUGGAUCGUAUGGUCAUACCGUUAAAAAAUACAAUUCCUUUGGUGAUCUUGUUCAAAUUUUGGGAACACCAGGCAAAAAAGGCACUGGUUUGAACCCCUUGCAGUUUGAUAACCCUGCGGAAUUAUUCGUAGAAGACACGGGAGAUAUUUACAUUGUAGACGGAGAUGGAGGAUUGAAUAACAGAUUGAUCAAAUUGUCUCAAGAUUUCAUGAUCCUCUGGCUACGUGGAGAAAAUGGGACAGAACCCGCUAAGUUCAACAUCCCUCACAGUGUGACGGUUGAUUCCGUUGGUCGGGUGUGGGUAGCUGACCGAGGCAAUAGAAGAAUUCAGGUGUUUGAUAAAGACACCGGGGAGUGGUUAGGAGCCUGGAAUGAUUGUUUCACUGAAGAGGGGCCAUCCGCAGUCAGAUUUACCCCUGAUGGGAAGCGUUUGAUUAUAGCCCAGCUGAAUCUAAGCCGCCUCUUAAUCACAGCGGCGCCGCCGGUCGGAAACAUCGGUAACUGUUCUGUGAUCAGCACCAUCCAGCUAGCAGAUCAGGUCUUACCUCAUCUCUUGGACGUCAGUCAGAAGACUGGAGCCAUUUACGUGGCAGAAAUCGGAGCAAAAAUCAAUUUAAUAUUCAAAAAGGAGGACACUUCGAGGAUUGAUUGAAAACAGACCAGGGACACAUGAAUCCUGGCCCUGGAUGGUUAAAAGUGCCAGAAGCAAGCUUGCUGUUCAGAUGGAAAAAAGAAAGACUAGUUGUGUGCAUUUCAGAAGGACCUCAAUACCUAUGUCUAUGGCUAGCUGAGAAGACAGAAGCCUCGUCUCCCACUGAUGUUCAUUCUCAUGGCUGAAGAAAAAGAGGAAUGAAAGCAAUCAAGAUAGGAAAGAUGAAGGAAAGUCAAUAAAACAGCAGAAGCUUAAAUCUUGGGGGCCCUUAAUUGGCAGGGUUGGUGUGGCGAUGGUGUAGAUACUCCUCCAUCCAAUUCCUUCGGAUCCCUCUGCUGGUUCCAUCCUCCAUCAGCUUCUGGCUGCACUUUGAUUCUAACAGCUUAGAUUUGCAACUCUCUUCUGAGGCCUGGUGAGCCGGGACCCAUUUUGCUCCAACUCUCAGAAAGUGGAAGUACCCCUGGCGUGACCUACGAUGGGCUGAUGGGGAGUCUGAAAGCCCACAUUCUUGCCUCCGGGUGGCACAAACUCUGCAGUGCCAUGAAUGUUCCAGAGCUCCUGCGAGCUCAGGCGGAGGCUGGGGCCUCCCCUGAAACUGCCUCCUUGCGUGGUGCCUACGCCUCUCUAUCUUGGUUUCCCAUUACUGGUUUCUCCUGGGCUCAUUUCCUUGAUCCCCUGAACAUGAAUCCUCAUCUCAGGGGUUUUGCUUUGGGGAACCUGGUCUCAAACAAAAGCAAAUGAAUGAUCUUUCUUGCUUUUCUUUACUGUAAUCAGGGUCUGUGAAGUUUCUUCAGUUGUCAGGGCUUAACCCACCUACCCACCUACCCAUCCAAACGCUGCCAUCCCCUGAAAGACCCGGAGCCGAGACAGAGUCUUCAGCACACCCUCCCUGUGCUACCAUCUUCCUGGGGCCAAUCUAGCGCCUUACCUGCUCAAUGUGUAUGUGUCAUUUCUGAGAAUGGUUAUGUUCUGGAGCCUUUCUUGUUUGUGUCAUAAACCAUAAAAUUCAUCAGACCAACUGUCUAGCAGGUGAAACAGAAAGGCAGGACACCAAAGAAAGGUACUUUAAAAGUGUACCUCAGUAGAAAAUGUCUGAGGCCAUCCCGCCGUAUUGGUACUAAUUACACACAUGUGCCUGUUUAUGUGUGAUUUACACAUUUUUUGGUUUAAAUUUAGCAACUGGCUAAGAUCCAAAAUGAGCAACUAAUGUUGUGUGAUUUAAAAGAAAAUUAUUCCUCUAUUUCAGAUGUGAAAGUUUAGGUUUGCUAAGGAAUUCAUAAAGUAAUUUGUAAAUAAAUCAAUAUGGAUUUCUUCUGGUAUUUUGCGUUAUACAGAGAUAUAGCCAGUCCCUCAGUUUAACCUCAAAAAAUAUACAUACAAAGGGCAUACACCACACACACACACACACACACACACACCUUUUGAGAAGCAAGAAAUGGUCAAGAUCAGCAGUAAGAUCAAGAGAUGUCACUAAGAUUUGGGCGAAUCUGGAGAGACACUAUGUCAUCCGUCCCCUGAUCCUUGACUCCCUUCUUCCCACCCCUCCUUCGAUACAUUCACUAAUUUGACAAAUACUUGUUAACAUGUCCACCCCAACUGGAAGCCUCUGGGUACCAGGGAUUCACUUUGGAAAAAGAUAAAAGUCCGUGCUAUCCAAGAACUGUGGUCCAGUCAAGGGAGUAUAAACAGUAACUACUCAGAUACUUAUGUGAUGGUAAUUGUGACAUGUGCUUGGAAGAGAAAAAAACACCCAGGACGCUAAGACAGCCAAUCGCAAGGAAUUGUAUACGGUGCGGUCUGUGAACGGGCGUUUUCGAUUAGCAGGGACAUUUAAGCUGAGGCCUGGCAGAGGAGCAGGGGCUAGCCACGAGAGAAUGUGGGAGGCUGGGGGAGCGCACUGCCCCAGGGGGAUGGGAAACGUAACAGAGAAAUGUAGGCAGAUUUGGGUCUUGUUCAGAUACAGUACUGUUCAGGCGAGAGAUGGCUGUCACUGUGGGUGUGGGUGAGAGAUGGGCUGGCGACCAGCUGCAGAGGUUAAGCGCUGGAAGGCAGGAGACUUCCUCUUUAGGAUGUUCAGCUCCACUGGUACCUGGAAAUAUGAGACGGUCAACAUCCAUCCGUCAAUCUUCUGCAGCCACGCUGCGCUGCACCGUUACAGGGGAUCCAGGAGAGAAUGCGAUCGCGUCUUUGGUCCCACGAAGCUUAUGUUCCACUAACACCAAUUCUGGAGCAUCACUGAGAUGGGCCGCAUUAUUUUGAAAUCAUUCCUUGUCUAUUUUACACAUAUGUCUGUAGCAAUUCAGUUGAAUGAAAUUAACUAAAGAAGGGAAUUUUUUCAUUAAAUUAUAAAUGUAAAUGUCUCUUGAACUUCUCCCCCAAAAAGGAAUAUAUUUUUUCUCUCUGAGCAUGAUUCCUUCCAUUGUUAACGAAAGUUGGAACUAGAGGAAUAAGAAAUUAGCACUGUUUUUCACAGUAAUAAGAAGAAAAGUCUUUUUGAGUACAUUAUGAUGUUAGGGAAGAGCAGAUGUUUCAGUUUGUAUGUUUUAAGGUCCAAGAGUAUUAAUGGAGCUAAAUGAAACCAGGAAAUACACGAUCAUUCUUCCCUGGCCUCUCUCUUCCCCUGUCCUGGCAAUAAAUUCCCGUUCUUGUGAUGCAAGCAGAAAGCAUUUUACUAGCGGGCAAGUUUUGUCUGUAUUCUUUCAGGAAAUUAGAGAAGCAAAUCUGUUGCAGCUUUCCCUUUUGCUCUCUGUAAUGCUCCAUCAAACAGGACUCCAAGAUCACUGGGUUGGCAAACGGUGGCUUUCAACAAUCGGGAUGCCAUUCUUGACAGAUAAAAUAGAGGUUAAUGGGACAGAAAGCAGCCAACCACAGCCACCUGCAAAAUCAAUGGAAAAAGAUGUCCUGGCUGCAUUCCAGGGCAGCCCCAGAGAGAAGAUGGGGGGAGAGGCGUGGCUGUUUUUCAGGGUGGCUCAAAUUCAUUUUUAGUGCGACUUUCCUUAGUAAUAGAAAGAGAAGAAAAGGCAUGGGGAGCCCAGUCUUACGACAAAUUACACUGAAAUUUCAGUGAUAGUUCGUUUUUGGAGAACAUGGUAUCACUUGUUCAUUUGUUUGAUGAACAUUCCAGAGCCGACCACGCGACUGCCUGUCUCACUCCCGUAUCCCAACAUUCAGUACGAUGCCUGGACCACAGCAGACAAUUGAUACACGUUUGUGGCGUGAAUUCAUGCCAGACACUAUGCUUGUGCUGAGAACAGAGAUCUGAAAUUAAUAAUUAUAUACUAGCUGUCCUGGAUAGCCUGUGAGCCGGGCGAGAAACAGUUUAAAAGCAGCAUCUCAUUUAACCAUUUUUGCCUUUGAUGCUUUCAGGAAAUUAGAGAAGCACCUCUGUUUACCCUUCCCCAAUGUCCUUCCUUUUGAGGUGUAGACAUUGAGUUCCAUGCAAGAUAAGUCACUUGCCCAGUAACUCAAAUUAUAUGACGAAGCUUGAACUUGAGUCGGUUCCAGCACUUUGUCCUGUGCUCAGAUAGUGUCUCAGGAAGCUCUCUAUCAAAUGUAUGUUCCCCAUGUGUCAGACAGUACUUGUCUUUGCUAGAACUUCCAUGCCACGAAGAAAUAAAACAUGUUCUGCAUUUUUGAAUUCACCAGUCUCAGAAGGCUUCAGGCACCCGUGUCUACCUUGCACAAUCUAGUUAUUAAACGCCUGCAUCUUGCAGACUUGGCACUCCCUCUCCAGGGGCCAAUGCAACCCAACCGGCACUCUCUUGGCAACACCAUCCCCUCUAGGGGACGUGGGGUGGUGUGGUCCAGUGAACUUGCUUGAUCAAGUCAGAUAACUGAUUCUUUCUGGGUGAGAACUGGCUAUGGACAUGCUCACUAACUGGGUGUUUUGUUUUUCUUUUUAGGGCCACACCUGUAGCAUAGGGAAGUUCCCAGGCUAGGGGGUGAAUGGGAGCUACAGCUGCAGGCCUGUGCCAUAGCCACUCAGGAUCCGAGCCAUGUCUGUGACCUACAUCAGAGCUCACAGCAGCGCUGGCUCCUUAACCCACUGAGCAAGGUUAGAGAUUGAACCUGCAACCUCAUGGAUACUAGUCGGGUUUGCUACCACUGAGCCACAAUGGGAACUCCCCCAAACUGGGUGUUUUUGGUGUGUACCCCCUGUCUGAGCAGAGCCGAGGAAGGGCUCCAGGUCCUGGGCCCACCCCUGAUCCCCUCCACCUGUAAACCUCUAGCAGGCUGGCGGGAGCUGCCGUGCCAUCCUCAGUGGUUACCCAGAGGCUUUGCCACAGCGCCUCCCACUGGGCACAGGGCUGCUCAUUUAAGCACAAAACAGGGUCACCCCGGUCAUCCUGCCCUCUGACCAAUGCCUAAUGCAAACCUCCAUGUGUGCUCAGCCUUCCUGUGCCCUGCACUUGAACCUGAGUCCCCUGGUUCACUUCUUUCCUCACGGGGUCACUGCUGAGUUCCCAGCCCUGAGUCCAGAAAUAAGCCAUCUGCCAUCACUUAUCAAGGCAGAAUACCUUUCAUCUGUGAUGUUUUAAAAUCUGCAGCAUGUUAAGAUAUCAAUGAAAAGUCUAUGUAGAAAAGAAGCAGGUGAAUUCAACUUCAUUCCCUUUUGCUGUACAAAUAAUGAAGGCAGGAAGGUGGAAGAAGCAUCGGUGAAGAGAGAAAACUUUUGUAUUCCUAAAUACCUUGGACAGAAAAGUUUGAUGGGGCCUUCUCCUCCUGAAUAAAUUCCCUCCUACCUCUUCACAUGCAGACCAGCUUGUCUGCCUACACAUUAAAACCAAGAACAAAAACAAUCUCUCAUGGGAUCAAUGCCAUUUGUUCUUUUGGGAUGUCACUGAACAAAGAUGAUUCUAGUAAAAACAAAAUAAAACAAACAAACAAAAAAGAACCAUCAUGUUUUAAAUAUUUGACCUAAAACAUACAGAAGCUUUCAUUCAAACUCAUAACAGAACAAGUAGUUAAAAUGAUACCUGUCUGAAGAGAGAAGAGCAGAACUCAAAACUUUAAAAAAAAAAAAUUACAAGAACUCGAACUUGAUUGCUGAGCAAAAAAAAAAA
Molecule: long non-coding RNA, 6340 nt
Organism: Sus scrofa (pig)
Lineage: Eukaryota; Metazoa; Chordata; Mammalia; Artiodactyla; Suidae
Product: NHL repeat-containing protein 3
Source: RefSeq, a predicted model, not a curated record